UGCCAGCAGCCGCGGUAAUACGGAGGGGGUUAGCGUUGUUCGGAAUUACUGGGCGUAAAGCGCACGUAGGCGGAUCAGAAAGUUAGGGGUGAAAUCCCGGGGCUCAACCCCGGUACUGCCUCUAAAACUCCUGGUCUAGAGUUCGAGAGAGGUGAGUGGAAUUCCGAGUGUAGAGGUGAAAUUCGUAGAUAUUCGGAGGAACACCAGUGGCGAAGGCAUCUCUCUGGGUCGAUAUUGACGCUGAGGCGCGAAGGCGUGGGUAGCGAACGGGAUUAGAUA
This 279-nucleotide ribosomal RNA is filed under the name uncultured bacterium. Its description in RNAcentral is "partial 16S ribosomal RNA". It matches the Rfam family "Bacterial small subunit ribosomal RNA", at positions 506 to 784 of the family's 1533-position model. The record is from RNAcentral.